Molecule: RNA transcript, 1255 nt
Organism: Zea mays
Lineage: Eukaryota; Viridiplantae; Streptophyta; Magnoliopsida; Poales; Poaceae
Gene name: molybdopterin biosynthesis CNX3 protein
Exons: 4
Source: RefSeq, marked validated
ACCAGAGCCAACAGAGCAACGCCCAGGCCCCAGGCACACACUACACGAACCAGGCAACCAGCUGGGAGGAACCCUAGCGGAACACUGUGCAGGUGACAGCGGCGCGCUACCGGUGACGGGGGAUACGGCGGCAUCGUCCCCCUCGGUCCCUCCUCCAUCCCCCGCGCGGCGGCGCCAGCAGCCGGCCUGCAGAACCAUAGCAACACUUUGGUGCGCUUAAGAUGUCCAUCCUCCGAUCCUUUCUCCCAAUAGUAGCAAGAUCAAAUGGUUGGAGAUGCUUUUCUACUGGGAUUCCUUCUGAUAUGAUAGCGGACCUUAAUAAGGAAAUGGAGUCAAUAUUUGGCGAACCUCCAUCAUCCAGUCCUUUGGGCUCAAGUCCGUCCCCCCAGCAGCCAGUGGAGGAUUCACCACUAGUGCUUACCCAUACUGAUAGCAGCGGACAGGCCAAUAUGGUUGACGUCUCUCCCAAAGAAGACAGUAAGAGAGUCGCUAUAGCUAGCUGCAGGGUUUUGCUAGGCCAAAAGGUGUUCAAUUUGGUGGCAUCUAACGAGAUUUCGAAAGGUGAUGUCCUUACUGUUGCAAAGAUUGCUGGAAUAACUGGUGCAAAGCAAACCAGCAAUCUUAUACCCUUGUGCCACAACAUUAAUCUUUCACAUGUUCGUGUUGAUCUCACUCUAAAUGAAGAGGACUCUAGUGUCGUGAUAGAAGGGGAAGCCACAACCAGCGGAAAGACGGGGGUUGAGAUGGAAGCAUUGAGUGCUGUAGCCAUUGCUGGCCUUACAGUUUAUGACAUGUGCAAAGCUGCUUCAAAGGACAUUUGUAUAACAGAUGUCUGUCUCCAACAUAAGUCUGGAGGGAAGAGCGGAAGCUGGGCCAGGAAUUAAAAGGUUAAAUUGUUGCUCUGAGGAUAUGAACUGCAAGCAUGAUUCCGGCAUCUAUAGGGCUUCUAGGUCACUUGGAUAAUUUGACACCGGUGCAUGGUGUUUCGAACCGCAUAUCGUAAUUACCAUGUAAUGUUAUUUUGUAGUAUUUGAAGAAAUUGAUGAAGAUGUCAGACACAGAAUCAAAGCAAGCUAGAUGAAACAGCGUUAAGCAUCUAGUAAUGUUUUAUAUGACAAAAUGGUACCAUAGAUGAUAAAAAGAACAAGUUUUAUACAAUGGCAAUUAGAUUUGUUAUGUUGUAUCAUGCAGAAUAUUAACUAAAAAAAACUUGAUAUGUUUAACAGAUAAGUAUUGCAAAAAUAUAUAUGUUACA